UGGGGAAUUUUGGACAAUGGGCGCAAGCCUGAUCCAGCCAUGCCGCGUGAGUGAAGAAGGCCUUCGGGUUGUAAAGCUCUUUCGGUGAAGACGAAACGGUUCGCGUUAAUAACGCGGACUAAUGACGGUACUCACAGAAGAAGCACCGGCUAACUACGUGCCAGCAGCCGCGGUAAUACGUAGGGUGCAGGCGUUAAUCGGAAUUACUGGGCGUAAAGGGUGCGCAGGCGGUUUGCUAAGACAGGUGUGAAAUCCCCGGGCUUAACCUGGGAAUUGCGCUUGUAACUGGCAGGCUAGAGUGUGGCAGAGGGGGGUGGAAUUCCACGUGUAGCAGUGAAAUGCGUAGAUAUGUGGAGGAACACCGAUGGCGAAGGCAGCCCCCUGGGUUAACACUGACGCU
This 400-nucleotide ribosomal RNA is filed under the name uncultured bacterium. Its description in RNAcentral is "bacterial SSU rRNA". It matches the Rfam family "Bacterial small subunit ribosomal RNA", at positions 355 to 747 of the family's 1533-position model. The record is from RNAcentral.